RNAcentral lists this ribosomal RNA (608 nucleotides) under uncultured bacterium. Its description in RNAcentral is "bacterial SSU rRNA". It matches the Rfam family "Bacterial small subunit ribosomal RNA", at positions 338 to 950 of the family's 1533-position model. The record is from RNAcentral.
CCUACGGGAGGCAGCAGUAGGGAAUAUUGGGCAAUGGAGGCAACUCUGACCCAGCCAUGCCGCGUGCAGGAAGAAGGCGUUAUGCGUUGUAAACUGCUUUUAUAUAGGAAGAAAUAGACCUUGCGAGGUAAGUUGACGGUACUAUAUGAAUAAGCACCGGCUAACUCCGUGCCAGCAGCCGCGGUAAUACGGAGGGUGCAAGCGUUGUCCGGAUUUAUUGGGUUUAAAGGGUGCGUAGGCGGUUUAUUAAGUCAGUGGUGAAAGACGGUCGCUCAACGAUUGCAGUGCCAUUGAUACUGGUAGACUUGAGUGGGAUUGAGGUAGCUGGAAUGGAUAGUGUAGCGGUGAAAUGCAUAGAUAUUAUCCAGAACACCAAUUGCGUAGGCAAGUUACUAAGUCUCAACUGACGCUGAGGCACGAAAGUGUGGGUAUCAAACAGGAUUAGAUACCCUGGUAGUCCACACUGUAAACGAUGAUAACUAACUGUUGGCUUUCGGGUCAGUGGUACAGAGAAAUCGUUAAGUUAUCCACCUGGGGAUACGCCGGCAACGGUGAAACUUAAAGAGUAGUACGACGNGNGAGAGACGACGACGACGACGAGGAGGAGG